RNAcentral lists this ribosomal RNA (585 nucleotides) under uncultured bacterium. Its description in RNAcentral is "partial 16S ribosomal RNA". It matches the Rfam family "Bacterial small subunit ribosomal RNA", at positions 355 to 1375 of the family's 1533-position model. The record is from RNAcentral.
UGGGGAAUUUUGGACAAUGGGCGAAAGCCUGAUCCAGCAAUGCCGCGUGUGUGAAGAAGGCCUUCGGGUUGUAAAGCACUUUUGUCCGGAAAGAAAUCCUUGGCUCUAAUACAGUCGGGGGAUGACGGUACCGGAAGAAUAAGCACCGGCUAACUACGUGCCAGCAGCCGCGGUAAUACGUAGGGUGCAAGCGUUAAUCGGAAUUACUGGGCGUAAAGCGUGCGCAGGUGGUUUGCUAAGACCGAUGUGAAAUCCCCGGGCUCAACCUGGGAACUGCAUUGGUGACUGGCAGGCUAGAGUAUGGCAGAGGGGGGUAGAAUUCCACGUGUAGCAGUGAAAUGCGUAGAGAUGUGGAGGAAUACCGAUGGCGAAGGCAGCCCCCUGGGCCAAUACUGACGCUCAUGCACGAAAGCGUGGGGAGCAAACAGGAUUAGAUACCCUGGUAGUCCACGCCCUAAAACGAUGUCAACUAGUUGUUGGGGAUUCAUUUCUUAGUAACGUAGCUAACGCGUGAAGUUGACCGCCUGGGGAGUACGGUCGCAAGAUUAAAACUUAAAUGAAUUGACGGGGUCAUAGCUGUUUCCU